This 274-nucleotide ribosomal RNA is filed under the name uncultured prokaryote. Its description in RNAcentral is "partial 16S ribosomal RNA". It matches the Rfam family "Bacterial small subunit ribosomal RNA", at positions 524 to 798 of the family's 1533-position model. The record is from RNAcentral.
CACGGGGAUGCGAGCGUUGUCCGGAAUUACUAGGCGUAAAGGGCAGGCAGGCGGAUCCAUAAGUUUAUCGUUUAAGGCGUCGGCUUAACCGGCGUAGGGCGGUAGAUACUGUGGAUCUGGAAUGCGGUUGGGGAAGACAGAAUUCCUGGUGUAGCGGUGGAAUGCGCAGAGAUCAGGAGGAAUACCGAAGGCGAAGGCAGUCUUCCAAGCCGUUAUUGACGCUCAACUGCGAAGGUGUGGGUAUCAAACAGGAUUAGAUACCCUGGUAGUCCCU